CCUUGUACACACCGCCCGUCACACCAUGGGAGUUGGCUGUACCAGAAGCAGGUAGCCUAACCGAAAGGGGGGCGCCUACCACGGUAUGGUCAAUGACUGGGGUG
This 104-nucleotide ribosomal RNA is filed under the name uncultured bacterium. RNAcentral's name for it is "partial 16S ribosomal RNA". It matches the Rfam family "Bacterial small subunit ribosomal RNA", at positions 1379 to 1482 of the family's 1533-position model. The record is from RNAcentral.